Molecule: long non-coding RNA, 1908 nt
Organism: Gallus gallus (chicken)
Lineage: Eukaryota; Metazoa; Chordata; Aves; Galliformes; Phasianidae
Source: Ensembl
AGUGCGUAAGUAGUUUGACUUCUUAAUGUGAAGAGCUCUCUCAAAAACCCUACUUGAAGAUUGGACUCCCUGCCCUGUGUUGCUGAGAGUUUUGGUCUUCAGUGACUCUUUUUACGACUUUGGAUGCUGCUGUGCAUUAAAUGCAAGCGCAUCAACCACUUCCAUUUCCAAUCACCCUAUGGGCCUUCUCUCAAGUCCUGCCUCUGUUCUACUACCCUUUGGCUUGUUUUGGAGAUUUCCUCAUUAAAACACUUGACUUCGACUUGGCAGUACACGCGAAGAACUGAAAGAUGGAUGCUACCAGAUACUGCAAUAAAUUCAAAUUCCCAUCAAACAAACCUCAGCAGCCAUUAACAUCCCCAGCUCCGAGGGAGAGAGAUCUUCCUGCCGGCCUGCACUCCCACACCAGGGUGACUGUUCCCUUGAGCUGCACCACAUAGCCAACAGAAGGUAAACUGUGAUGGUAAAUGACAAGGAAGACAAUGUGACCCAGGCCUUAUUUCUAUUGGUUCAGGAGGAACUCUUUAUAACAGCAAUAAGAAUGAUUGCUUUUUCCUUCCCCUUUCCUUUGACUUCUACAUGCUCCUCCUCAAAAAUGCAUUUAUCACAUUUGUAACGUGCAAUUAAAUACCCCAGACCUAAACACAAGAUCUUUAAGUCAAACCUUGAACAACUCUUAAGAUCUUCAACAACUCUUCCCAAACUUGCUGUGGUGAUCAGAGAAUUAGCAGAGGUCUCCAAGCAGAGCUCCUUGAUUCAGGCAGAGCAAUGCAACAAUUCUCAUUGCUGGGGAGAACAGAGCUCUAACAGAAAGACUCUAACAGACCAGUGGUGGUUUGCCAGUAGCUUUGCAGAUUUCCUAUCAGUGUCAGGGCAAGAAUGUGAUUUCCUCAACAAAUUUUCAGGUGCAGCUCUUCCUCAAAGAGAACUGAAAGGUUUACUUUGCCCCUGCUAUCAUGACAGCUAGGUCAAGUGAGUUUUUAAGUCAGAUACUCGUUAUAGAACAAUAUAUAAAAUAUGCAUACAUGAACUAUUCCAGGUAAUGAUCAGUAUGAUCACAGGAAGAAUCUAAGCAAGCAACAAGCAGCAACUAAAUGAAAGCAGCAACUAAAUGAAAUUGAGAUAGAGUUCAGUACAAGAGGAAGAGCCAUUUGUUUCCAUAGCUUAGAGCAGUAGGAAGGAACAAACCCACUGCAGGUUUUCAUAGACAGAGUCCCCCAGGUAAUUGGAGGAAUACUGAUCAGCCUAUGCACCCGUGCAUUACUGAAUGCACUAAACCAUCUGAAAGAGAACUAACAGCAGCGAUGCUGCCUGCUAUUUCCCUACAAGGGGCUGAUGUGCACCCAGCUGUCCUGAGGUCCCAGAGCUGGCUGUCCAGACCAGGGACUCACACUAACAAGCUGAAGGUCACUUUGAGGCUGGGGCACCCAAGGAUGUAUGUGUAUGGUACGUGUAUGGAAGGACAGAAACGGAGCACAAGUUUUGGGACCACAUGCCUACAUCUUACCCCUUUAUGGGAAGGCAGGCUAGGGAAAAGAAUCUCUGUCUUGGUUGAAAAGUGCUUCCUAAGCAUAACCUUGUGAAGUAAAACACUCAGAAAAACAAAAACAUCCCCCUCUGUUAGAAGCCCAUGCCAAAGAAGUGUAAGCACAUGCCUUAAGUUAAACAGAUGUUUAGGUUUUUGUCUGAGUGGGGCCUGUGCUGACUCUGCAGUACUGCAGAUUUGUGGGACCAGCCAGCAACAGCGCCAUCCCCUAACGCUGCUGGUACCUCUGCUGUGCUGAUACAUGCUCCUUGGUGUGCACACUCUGCCUCACACACCAGAUUUCUGUAACAUACACAAAGCCAUAGGAGUACUUUUCAACCUCCAGUAGCAUAUUAGACUCAAAUAAAGCAUUUGCAUUUCUU